CCUACGGGAGGCAGCAGUGAGGAAUAUUGGUCAAUGGGCGAGAGCCUGAACCAGCCAAGUAGCGUGAAGGAUGACUGCCCUAUGGGUUGUAAACUUCUUUUAUAAAGGAAUAAAGUCGGGUAUGGAUACCCGUUUGCAUGUACUUUAUGAAUAAGGAUCGGCUAACUCCGUGCCAGCAGCCGCGGUAAUACGGAGGAUCCGAGCGUUAUCCGGAUUUAUUGGGUUUAAAGGGUGCGUAGGCGGACGCUUAAGUCAGUUGUGAAAGUUUGCGGCUCAACCGUAAAAUUGCAGUUGAUACUGGGUGUCUUGAGUACAGUAGAGGCAGGCGGAAUUCGUGGUGUAGCGGUGAAAUGCUUAGAUAUUAGGAGGAACACCAGUGGCGAAGGCGGCUUACUGGACGGCAACUGACGUUGAGGCUCGAAAG
RNAcentral lists this ribosomal RNA (424 nucleotides) under uncultured Prevotella sp. Its description in RNAcentral is "bacterial SSU rRNA". It matches the Rfam family "Bacterial small subunit ribosomal RNA", at positions 338 to 759 of the family's 1533-position model. Lineage: Bacteria; Pseudomonadati; Bacteroidota; Bacteroidia; Bacteroidales; Prevotellaceae. The record is from RNAcentral.